UAAGUUCAGACAAGUUUUUCGAAAAAGUGAAUUAAGUGAUGUUGUAUCUAAUAAGCAACAGAAAAUGGCAUUUGAUCCAUUGCUAAUGUAAAAGAUCAUUGUUUUUCAAAUUUAUAGACAGAGAUAUGCUUUUCCAUGAUGUCAUAUUUGCUGCUGUCUUCUUUGCUUUUUACUCCUCAGGAAAGGCUCACACUCAAAACUGGGUAAAGCAGUGGCCAGGUGAGGUGUACAGCACACCCGGAGAAAACAUCACCAUACACUGCCAGACUCAAGGAGACAUUCAGGAAGCUAAGUGUUUAGUAAACUGGUACAUCAAGAACAGACAUGGGAAAUAUGUCAGCAUCAACAAACUCACUCAGUUUAGCGGGAGACAUUCUGAAGACAAAAAAGAAAGCCACUGGCGCCAGAGCUUUACCCUGACGUCCCUAGAGCUCAAUGACACUGGCAGAUUCUACUGUAAUUACUUGUGCAGAAUUAAUGGCACACAUGAGCAGUACUAUGGGACUGGGACUCGACUGUUUGUACAUUUUAGGACUGAGAAUGUGACUAAGGGCAGCCCACUGUGUACCUUCAAUAAGACAGGUGAAGUGGAGGGUGAAUCCAGAGUAUACUUGUUUUUCCUAUUUCUUGUUUUAAUUGUUUUAUUGUCUAAAGUUGUUGUAUUUAUAUUUAUGACUUUGGUUGCACUUUUUUCUCCUCAUUAA
Molecule: long non-coding RNA, 704 nt
Organism: Cyprinus carpio (common carp)
Lineage: Eukaryota; Metazoa; Chordata; Actinopteri; Cypriniformes; Cyprinidae
Source: Ensembl